This is a non-coding RNA of Phascolarctos cinereus (koala), 1051 nucleotides long. The record is from RefSeq and is a predicted model, not a curated record. NCBI's taxonomy places the organism in Eukaryota, Metazoa, Chordata, Mammalia, Diprotodontia, Phascolarctidae.
CCAGGGCAGACUACAUUACCCAUUGUCCUCUGCCUGAGGAUCCGGAAGUAGCGUGGAGAGCGGAGGGCUGCAGUCCCAGGUGAGGGACUGAUAGCUUUGCUACUGUGGGUGAUAGUGGAGGGGAAAAGCACAGGGUGCAGUGAGCCCCUGGCCUUAGGGAAGAGUCAGGUGCAGACUGGAGGAAGCUGUUGGGAAACAGGAGAUACAGGAGCUGGAUCGCCUGGGUAUUCUGUAAUUUGCAGAGUCCCAGGACAGGUUGACUCCCCACCAUUUCUGAAGAAGCAGUGUUGUACAAUGGAAGGAGGAAGCACUUGCACUUGAAGUCGGGAGCCCUGGGCUUGGGUCCCUGUUUUGCCACUUACUGUCAAUGGAGCAGGAAGGACAACAACCAACCGACCAAGGAGAGGGCAUGCUGUAACAGGUAGAGAACUGCUCUCAAAGCCAGAGAGACCAGGGUUUAAGAACUGCCCUUAACACUGGCUGUGAUCCUGGGCUGCAACUCUGAAGGAGAGCAGGGAUGACUGAGGGCACUUAAAUCAAGCCCAGCUUAAUGAGCAAGAUUCCCUUUGCUUCAUCUUCCUGCCAUCAGAGCUCAGCGUUUCCGGUGCUGAGAGGUCUCUACAACAGUAUUGCUUUAACUGUUAAUAUAGUUGAAGCAAGUCCUUUUGUUUGGAUGUUCUUAAUGUCUAAUCUCCAUCUCUCCUGCUACGGUUUCUUCUUGUUGAGCCUUUUCUGGAAAUAGAAGCGGUUUUGUUUGCCUACGCAUAUUUUUCCCAAGGGUUUUGUUUUUCUCUCCUUGGUUCCAGUUGAGGAGUAGUGGAAGAGAAAGUAAAUGUUUGUUAACUAAAAAAUUAAAUUGCGUUUUUAAAAAAUAGAACCAUAGAAAGAGAUUUGAAAGAUUAUUUAGAUUUUUCAAAUUCUGAACUUAACAAACACUGGAUAAACAUUUCCAUAUAAAUAGAACAGAAAAAGAGGAUUGAUUAUAUGUAAAACUUCAAAGCAAGAUCAUUCAGUUCAAUUAUAUUGAUUAAAAAAAAGUUUUAUUGAUGAA